Molecule: long non-coding RNA, 204 nt
Filed under: Gossypium raimondii (Peruvian cotton)
Lineage: Eukaryota; Viridiplantae; Streptophyta; Magnoliopsida; Malvales; Malvaceae
Description: long non-coding RNA (GRAI_LNC002667)
Source: RNAcentral
AAAAACAAAGAAAGUGAGGCAACAAAAUCAAGAGAAAAUGAGCAAGAGAGAAAAGAAAAAGAGAAGGAAAAAAUAAAGAGAGAAUGAGUGAGAAAAAGAAGAUUCGAGUGAAAGAAAAAAAGGAAAAGAGAAAGUGAAUUUUUUCACUAAGGGGUGAGAGGUUGAAAAAUCUUUUCAGACACGACAAUUGCUACUUGUACUUUU